UGCCUACGGGGGGCAGCAGUGGGGAAUAUUGGGCAAUGGGCGCAAGCCUGACCCAGCAACGCCGCGUGAAGGAAGAAGGCUUUCGGGUUGUAAACUUCUUUUCUCAGGGACGAACAGAUGACGGUACCUGAGGAAUAAGCCACGGCUAACUACGUGCCAGCAGCCGCGGUAAUACGUAGGUGGCAAGCGUUAUCCGGAUUUACUGGGUGUAAAGGGCGUGUAGGCGGGGACGCAAGUCAGAUGUGAAAACCAUGA
RNAcentral lists this ribosomal RNA (255 nucleotides) under uncultured bacterium. RNAcentral describes it as "partial 16S ribosomal RNA". It matches the Rfam family "Bacterial small subunit ribosomal RNA", at positions 335 to 606 of the family's 1533-position model. The record is from RNAcentral.